GACGAACCGUCCUAACGUUGUUCGGAAUCACUGGGCUUAAAGGGCGCGUAGGCGGGCAUGCAAGUCCGGGGUGAAAGCUUUCGGCUUAACCGGAAAAGGGCCUUGGAUACUGCAUGUCUAGAGGGAGGUAGGGGUCUGUGGAACUUCGGGUGGAGCGGUGAAAUGCGUUGAUAUCCGAAGGAACGCCGGUGGCGAAAGCGACGGACUGGACCUCUUCUGACGCUGAGGCGCGAAAGCCAGGGGAGCAAACGGGAUUAGAUACCCCGGUAGUCCUGGCCCUAAACGAUGGGUACUAGAUUGCGGACUAAACAUGGGUUCGCAGUCGAAGCAAAAGUGGUAAGUACCCCGCCUGGGGAGUAUGGUCGCAAGGCUGAA
This 375-nucleotide ribosomal RNA is filed under the name uncultured bacterium. RNAcentral's name for it is "bacterial SSU rRNA". It matches the Rfam family "Bacterial small subunit ribosomal RNA", at positions 524 to 898 of the family's 1533-position model. The record is from RNAcentral.